Molecule: ribosomal RNA, 467 nt
Filed under: uncultured bacterium
Lineage: Bacteria
Description: partial 16S ribosomal RNA
Rfam family: Bacterial small subunit ribosomal RNA
Source: RNAcentral
GAUGAACGCUGGCGGCGUGCUUAACACAUGCAAGUCGAACGGAAAGGCCCAAGCUUGCUUGGGUACUCGAGUGGCGAACGGGUGAGUAACACGUGGGUGAUCUGCCCUGCACUUCGGGAUAAGCCUGGGAAACUGGGCCUAAUACCGGAUAGGACCACUUCUUGGAUGUUGUGGUGGAAAGUUUUUUCGGUGUGGGAUGAGCUCGCGGCCUAUCAGCUUGUUGGUGGGGUAAUGGCCUACCAAGGCGUCGACGGGUAGCCGGCCUGAGAGGGUGUACGGCCACAUUGGGACUGAGAUACGGCCCAGACUCCUACGGGAGGCAGCAGUUGGGAAUAUUGCACAAGGGGCGCAAGCCUGAUGCAGCGACGCCGCGUGGGGGAUGACGGCCUUCGGGUUGUAAACUCCUUUCGCUAGGGACGAAGCGUUUUGUGACGGUACCUGGAGAAGAAGCACCGGCUAACUACGUG